CAGGGAGACAACAAAAUGUUAAAUAUUAAUUUUGUCACCUUAGGUCGAUCGGUAUCUCACAUUCUUAAACAUAUUAAGAAUUUUAUUUCCUAAGUUUUUUCUAGGUCACACCCAAAUUUUCCUGGGCCAUUAGCUCAGGUGGUUAGAGCGCACCCCUGAUAAGGGUGAGGUCCCUGGUUCAAGUCCAGGAUGGCCCAUAUCUCUAUGUUGGGGGUAUAGCUCAGUUGGUAGAGCGCCUGCUUUGCAAGCAGGAUGUCAGCGGUUCGAGUCCGCUUACCUCCACUGAUUACCACCUCUUCCAUAAUCUAUGAGAAGGAAAUGUUUUGAGUAGUGAUCAAAUUCUGAACGAAGCUAGCUUCCUAAUGAAAUCAUUAAGAUGCUGGGCUCAUUGAAUUAAUUUCAUUGUUUUCAGAGAACCUUGACAACUGCAUAGAUUAUUUUAAAGACAAUAAGCAUCUUUAAUGAUGCAGAUUUAUUAUUUGUGCGAAUGCAUUAAUAACAAUUCUAUUAAGCUGAUGCUUCAAUUUUUGAAGUUAUU
Molecule: transfer RNA, 538 nt
Filed under: uncultured cyanobacterium
Lineage: Bacteria; Bacillati; Cyanobacteriota
Description: partial contains 16S ribosomal RNA, 16S-23S ribosomal RNA intergenic spacer, and 23S ribosomal RNA
Rfam family: tRNA (bases 210-282)
Source: RNAcentral